RNAcentral lists this ribosomal RNA (702 nucleotides) under uncultured bacterium. RNAcentral's name for it is "bacterial SSU rRNA". It matches the Rfam family "Bacterial small subunit ribosomal RNA", at positions 51 to 766 of the family's 1533-position model. The record is from RNAcentral.
ACACAUGCAAGUCGAACGAGAGAAGAGAAGCUUGCUUUUCUGAUCUAGUGGCGGACGGGUGAGUAACACGUGAGCAAUCUGCCUUUCAGAGGGGGAUACCGAUUGGAAACGAUCGUUAAUACCGCAUAACAUAAUUGAACCGCAUGAUUUGAUUAUCAAAGAUUUAUCGCUGAAAGAUGAGCUCGCGUCUGAUUAGCUAGUUGGUAAGGUAACGGCUUACCAAGGCGACGAUCAGUAGCCGGACUGAGAGGUUGAUCGGCCACAUUGGGACUGAGACACGGCCCAGACUCCUACGGGAGGCAGCAGUGGGGAAUAUUGCACAAUGGAGGAAACUCUGAUGCAGCGAUGCCGCGUGAGGGAAGAAGGUUUUAGGAUUGUAAACCUCUGUCUUCAGGGACGAAAAAAUGACGGUACCUGAGGAGGAAGCUCCGGCUAACUACGUGCCAGCAGCCGCGGUAAUACGUAGGGAGCGAGCGUUGUCCGGAAUUACUGGGUGUAAAGGGAGCGUAGGCGGGAUCGCAAGUCAGAUGUGAAAACUAUGGGCUUAACCCAUAAACUGCAUUUGAAACUGUGGUUCUUGAGUGAAGUAGAGGUAAGCGGAAUUCCUAGUGUAGCGGUGAAAUGCGUAGAUAUUAGGAGGAACAUCAGUGGCGAAGGCGGCUUACUGGGCUUUAACUGACGCUGAGGCUCGAAAGCGUGGGG